CCUCAAGGCCCAUUUCCCCAUCUCUAUCAUCGGCGGCGGCGGCUCGAGCAGAGGAAAGGAAGCUUUCUACCCUAGCAGAGAAAAAAAAGCAGAGGAGAGGAAGCGGAGGCGACGAUGUCGGCGAUGACGGCGGCGGUGCCCUUCUGGCGCGCGGCGGGGAUGACCUACAUCGGCUACUCCAACGUCUGCGCGGCGCUGGUGCGGAGCUGCCUCAAGGAGCCCUUCAAGACCGAGGUCUCCUCCCGCGAGAAGGUCCACUUCUCCCUCUCCAAGUGGGCCGACGAGAAGCAGCAGAAGCCCAGUAAGUUCCUCGAUCCGAUCAAGUCCCUGUCCCGCGUCCUCGAUCCGGUUUGAUUUGCCUGGCUACGGAAUGAAUCCUAGGGUUCGUGGAUCUGGCUUGGUACUGUUGGAUGUAGAUCUUGGUCUAGGUCUAGCGGUUUACAUGUCUAGGUUGAUCUGCUGGAUUGAAUACGAUCUGAUCAGCGCUGAUGUUUGGUUGGGCCGCGCGUCUUCGCGUGAUUCUGUUGCACACCUGCGUAGAAAUCUGUGCGUCGUUGACGAUGGCACAGAUCUAGUGUGCGUCCUUUUUUUGCCUGUUGGUAGAAAUGUGUUGUGAGGAGGGGAAAAAACUGACCUACGCAAAAGGAUGAUCUUAAAGUUAGCUGUCAGUGUAAUAUACAAGAUUGUUGUGUCAUCUGCUAAGGACUCUGGUAUCAGCUCACUUGAGAUGUAUUGGGAAUUUUAACUCAUCCUAUAGCCUGGAGCUGCUAGAAUCGUAAGAUUAUGUUUUACAGUUUAGUACUUAGUAUUACUUAUUUGCUGGAAAAUAGAGAUGAUUAACCAUGAAUGCAUGAAGUAAUACAUAACGAGGAUCCUACCCUGAGUGUGACCUUGCAUAGGCUGGAUUGGGCGGACAUGAUGGUCCUUAUCGUCUCUGUUCUAUGCAAAAUUUUACCAGAUAAAAAAUAUAUCUAUAUUCCUUUAAAACCAGGAGAAACUGUGGCUCUGUUUGAAGAUUAACUGUAGGAGCCCCACCUGAACUUCUAUGCAGUCAUGGUUAUCGAUUAAUCUCUGCAAGCUUUUCGCAAUAGAUUUCUUUCCCCUGAUGCAAGGAAAAUAUCAUGAGCUUAAUCUGUGGCACCACGUGGCUGCUGCGUGCACUAGAGCAUUCGUGAACUCAUGCUGACGAUAAAGAAACCUCAUGUGGCAAAGGCAUGUGCAAGUCUACUAAUAGAGGGGCUGGUGUGGUAAUAAUUAGCACCCGUAGUUUUCACUUUUCAGAGUCAAUGCAUCAGUACCUCAUAGUUCUGCAAAUGGCUCAAGAUUUGUCAUUACUCUAUUUGUUGAUACAGAGCUGGUAGCAAAGCAGAGGGAGUUUAUUCGGCUGCAUGCAUGAUUGCAUGUGAACACUAAGUAGUGAUCUAUAGCAAUACUGAUUUCGUGUUUCACAUAACUAUCUAUAUUUCUAUUGCAAUUCGUGGAUAUUCUUCCAGGAACUGCAAAAGUAGAUGUAGUUUGGUCUUGGAAUGCUUAGUCCUUGUACAAUGGGAGGUGCUUAGGGAGAUGCUUAGUAAAAUAAACCGAGUUCUUCUUAAGCACCGGUGCUUAUUUCUACAGGACAGACGCUUAAUUAAGCGUUUAUCCUCUACAAAUAAGCACCGGUGCUUAGAGAAAAACUGGUUUAUUUCUCUAAGCAUCUACCCCAAGCAUCUUGCAUUGUACAGGGCCUUAAGUGACUGUUAUGGUUGCUCUCUGAGUGAUUUGCAUGAAGUGUUGCAUCCAACAUCUACGCCUUUCUGAAUAAUUUGCUUAUCCAGCUUCUGUGAUGAUUUUGUACUUUGCAUAUUUAAUGUAUUGCUUUCUUCAUGGUGGUUGGUGGGUAUUGAACCAAGUAGAACCAAAUGAGGCUCUAUUUGCAUGAAGUGUUGCAUCCAAUAUCUACGCCUUUCUGAAUAAUUUGCUUAUCCAGCUUCUGUGAUGAUUUUGUACUUGCAUAUUUAAUGUAUUGCUUUCUUCAUGGUGGUUGGUGGGUAUUGAACCAAGUAGAACCAAAUGAGGCUCUUUCUUGCUUUGAUUCUACUUCAUGAUGUAUUGUUCUCUUGAACACUAACUUGUUUGUUCAUGUUGCAGCUGUGCGCACAGAUGAUGAAUGAAGAUCGGGUGCCAUGGUGAUUGAUGUUUUGAGAAGUUGUUGAGUCAGGGCUUAAGAACUUGAGAAUAAAUUCUUGCGGUGACAAUGGAUCUAUUCCGAUACUAUGUUGUUAUAUUUACUAAUUGCUCCUUUUCUACUUGAUGAACCUGAACCAUGUGAAACUCGUGUCUUGUGGGGCUCGAGUGAGCGUGUUUUUAUGCGUUAUAUCUUCCGAUGCUUUAAUUUGGUAUAUAUUCCAAAGCUUAUGAAUAAACUGUUUUACCCAUGUCACUUGGUGUAUAUCUCUUGGAGCCUUUAUAAAAUAAUAAUAACAAUAAUGCUAAUAAUAAUACUAAUCAAAAACACUUUGAAGUCAUAAUAGCACUCUUAUUAAAAAAUAUGGUCAUGUGUGCUACACACAAAAAAACAUGUGAAUCUACUAUAUAGUAAAGUAUGUUGUAUUUAGGAACACAUUUGAUUCCCCUCAAAAAAAUAGGAACACUGUUUUUUGCAGCAAAAAGAAAUCUUGACCAAAAAUUAUAGGAUCACACUUUGAUUUCUUUUUUAUGAAUCUUCGGUUAUUUACUCUGAUAAUUUGGAGACCCGAUGGACAUGAGCCAAGGCGCCUCUCUAUACGGUCCUUUUGCCGUAGCUGCCAGCAUGUCACGGCAGCACAUGUAAAAGUUAUGUUAUUACUACUAUGUGCUUUUCUUCAGAAACUUGUGCUGUGCAAGUUUGUGUUGCUAAUAACCGGUUAGUGAAUGGUAGCCCUUGACGCAACAUCAAAACGAUUCACAGCCUUGCUAAAUACCAAAAUGUGCUUUCCUUCCAGAGGUUGCAAACCUGUAGCUGCAGCUGAAGGAUGACAUACGCAAAUUCAGCAUUUCACCGAGAUUCAGAACAGAAAGCGCAUGCACAACACAACACACAAAACAGAGCCAUCAAAUGGGCGAUAAACCUCUAACCAAAGAGGUGACACCUAUCGAACGUGGUAAUCCAUCUCUCAUCAUGCGCUGUGCACCAAGGAGAUGCCACAACAUUGUGCACCAAGAGAUGCCACGACAUUGGACGCGGCACAGACACACCAAGGAGAUGCCACGACAUUGGACGCUGUGCACCAAGAGAUGCCACGACAUUGGACGCGGCGCAGACACGACGAAUGAGCACCCUCUUGCCUCAAAGAGACGUUUCCUGUAAAUUUAAAUUUGGCCCAACCAUUACAGUUAGAAUCACGGAGGCCAUUCCCAAUAGAAAUUAUGGAGGCCAUUGCAAAUAGAGUAAGACCCCUUAAUUACAGCUGAUACGGUUAGAACUUGAAGCCGAAAAUAUGCCACAAGUCGAAGAUGUUUUUAUCAAGCCCCGUCGUUUGAGUUCCAAUAGAAGUCACCUCCUUCGGUUGAGUAGCCAUAUGGGAGAUGAGGCCCAUAAACAACACUGCCGUUCAAAAAUGUCAUCUGGUCCACCUGCGAUGCUGCCUGGUAAGCGUCCGGAGCAUUAGCCUGAGCCGUGUUGUUCUGAACUGGGUAGAUGUUUGUGCUGACAUCCUGUGUCCGCGCACGGGCAGUCCGCUUGUUCUCCACAGGACCGUCUGCGCUCAGCCUGACCAUUUGCUGCUGGAUUUCAAUCAGUGGACUGCAAGUGAAUUUUGACUUAGCGCUCUUCUUUGCGUCCGAAGACUUGAAUUCAAGCCGGUAUAAGGCAAAAGCGUCGCGAUCGUUGAUCUCGUAUUCAUAGAGGUGCCAUUCGUAGCUGCUAGAUGGCUGUGGGUCCAUGUAGUAUGAUCUCUUCAGACCCCCAAAGUCUUUCAUCACCUGCUUCCUUGAUUCAUGCCAGCCACGGCCGUUGUAAUCUGGCAGCGACCUUUGCUUCCGGUUUCCACUGUCGAAUGCCCUUCUUGGUUUGUCAAAGAAAAGCCAUUCUCUCAUAGAUUCACCUUCAAAGAUGUAAAGGUCGAAAAGUUCUGCAAAUGAUAGAAAUUAACAAACAGUCAGGACAUAAUUACCGGUACCAAUACAAAUGUAAGAACAUGAGUUAUGUGGCAAGAAGUUACCAGGUGCAUUCCAAGGGGAUUUCGUAGUUGCAGCCCCUUCACAGACAGGAACACCGACAUGCUUUCCUUGGAUUUUUGCACUAAGAGCGGCAAACAAAGGGCCAUCUUUUAGAUCAAUACCUCUCGGGCGGAUCACAGGCAUUGUGCCUGGAGGGCCCUCUUCCUUCACGGCCAAUUCAGCAUGGUACAUGCUGCAGUAAUCUUGCCAGCUUUCAGAUCCUUGAGCAGGCCGAGGGCAGUCCCAGAGAGCGCACUUUGGCCUCAGAAAUGAAGCAGGUGCUGGAGACAUUGUUGUGAGCAAGUCUGACAUGUGCAGGAAACCAUCUCCAGCAUUCUGCCCAUAGUUGUUCAUAUCAAGAUAUGCAUUAGGGGGCAACUCUUGUGGCAAAUUGAACUGCAGAUAUUCUUGGUGACCAAUCCCUUCAAGGUUAUUGAGGAUUUCUGGAUUGGACCCAGGAAGGUUUAUCUUGUAAUCAUCGUCGUAAAGAAAAUCCUCAACACUAAGCUCCUGGUUCACAUAGUACAUCUGGAAGGGCAUGGCAAAACCUUGUUAAAUUUAGCUCAGUUAUGUCAAAAUUAGAACUCGAGAAAUGGAGGUGACAGAGAGAUGGCAAAACUCCAAAAGACCUAGCACUGAACCUAAACAAGAUGUCAUGCAGAAAGCAUAAAACACUGGUGGCUCUUCUAAACAAUGCAAGAUGAUUGAUGAUCUUAGCGCUGAGAUGACCCCUUCUCCAGAAAUUCACUAUGCUAUGCCUGCAGGCAGCACAAUCCCAACUAAUCCAGGGCAGAGGUACAAGAUUAUGUGACGCUUCACCCUACGCGUGCAAGUAUAAAAGACAAACCCAUGUACAGCACGAAUUUCCUUGGUUUGAUUCAAACCAAAUAAAUAAAAAACAUAAGGAAACCAUGGAUGUCUCUGAAGUAGCGCUUCCACGUUUGGUAGCUCGUGCAAGGAAUGCAGGUGGACGCGGCUCCGCCUGCAUCCAAUAACUACUUUUGCCAGCUGUGUCACACAAAGCUGGAAAUCACCACUCUUCUUGAAUGCAGCUUGAGCUUGGUAAGACAGGUUUUGGAGGGAGGCUUUUAUGGUUAAGAUCACCAGGCUUCGUUCUUCUUGUGGUUCAUGAGCAGAAGCAAGCAGUAGAUAGAGGACGUCUAAAAAGGCCAAGUAUGGAGACUUCGGAUGGUAAAGGAUUGUUUUUUUUUUCAAAAUAAGAAAAUCCCUGUGCAUGAUCUUCUAGCGUGAAUAAGGCAGGGGGCAGAAAGUAGGAUCCCGUUGUAUCCUUCACCUCUGAAAUUUGUCGUGAUGGUGAUUUGAUUUUGCUAGGCUACUAGACACAGUAUCCAACGUUGGUUGGUUCCUUUUUCCUUGCUCCUCGUCCUUUAGAACUAUCCUUUGCUUUUGGUUUGCAGGGUUUUUCCCACCCCUAACUGAAUGAAGUAGAAACUGCUACUUCUACAAAAACUUUGACCAGUGUCUGCGCUUAUCGUAUAUGUGCUGGUGCCAAAAUUUAGUAUGUGGUAGCGCACAGCAGAAGAAGAAAAGGCGUCAGCAGGGGUAUCACACAAGCAUGCUAAGGGGGUAGAGAAGCAGGCAGAAAAGGAAACCAAAAUGGAUGAUAUCCUAACUUAAGAUGAAAAACAAAGCACCCUUGUACCCCAUAAGAUGGUUAAAGACAAAAAAAAAACUUACUUUUUGUCUCAAAUAUUACUACAAAUCAGCUUAACAAUUUUUUUUUCAGAACCCAC
RNAcentral lists this long non-coding RNA (5933 nucleotides) under Triticum aestivum (bread wheat). RNAcentral describes it as "long non-coding RNA (TAES_LNC025945)". Lineage: Eukaryota; Viridiplantae; Streptophyta; Magnoliopsida; Poales; Poaceae. The record is from RNAcentral.